This 253-nucleotide ribosomal RNA is filed under the name uncultured bacterium. Its description in RNAcentral is "partial 16S ribosomal RNA". It matches the Rfam family "Bacterial small subunit ribosomal RNA", at positions 524 to 776 of the family's 1533-position model. The record is from RNAcentral.
GACGUAGGGGGCCAGCGUUGUUCGGAAUUACUGGGUGUAAAGGGUUCGUAGGCGGUGCGGCAAGUUGGGAGUGAAAUCUCUGGGCUUAACCCAGAGGCUGCUUCCAAAACUGCUGUGCUUGAGUGUGGGAGAGGCGCGUGGAAUUGCAGGUGUAGCGGUGAAAUGCGUAGAUAUCUGCAGGAACACCCGUGGCGAAAGCGGCGCGCUGGACCACUACUGACGCUAAGGAACGAAAGCUAGGGGAGCAAACAGG